This 131-nucleotide small RNA is filed under the name Escherichia coli. RNAcentral's name for it is "partial RtT sRNA". It matches the Rfam family "RtT RNA". Rfam says of the family: This family represents a bacterial cis-regulatory element known as RtT RNA. The record is from RNAcentral. Lineage: Bacteria; Pseudomonadati; Pseudomonadota; Gammaproteobacteria; Enterobacterales; Enterobacteriaceae.
AUUCUGCCCAUGCGGGGAAGGAUGAGAAGCUUCGACCAAGGUUCGACUCGAGCGCCAGCGAGAGAGCGUUGCCGCAGGCAACGACCCGAAGGGCGAAGCGCGCAGCGCUGAGUAAUCCUUCCCCCACCACC